UUUUAGCCAAAUAUGAAUUAUUACCUGUUUUCUGUCUGCGUCAGCAACAACAAAAAUAGGAAGGAAAAUACUCUCAACUGCUUUCUUCAAUUUAUUCCUGAUCCAAAGAUGUGGUGAAGUAGGGGUCCUUACUCCAUGUUUCUUUCAGAGACAGACCAAAUAGCUGCAAUCUCAAUUCUACUAUAUGUAUGACUUCUUCCAAUCUUUUCAGAAUUUCUGUCAACUCUAUUUAGCAUAGAUUAUUAUAUGAAAAGUUCUACUAUGUUUAAUGAUUGGGGUAAGUGUCAAACUAAGACUUAUUACUGCAAUAAAAUGAUCAAUUAUGAGAUUAUUUGUAUGCCUAUACAUAACUUAUAUAUUUAGACAAUUUGAUUAUAUGUAACCUAAUAUCUGACGGUAGGUUGUGUUGUGAAGGCAGAAGAUUCACUUUCUUUAAAGCAGAUUCUACGAGAAAAUGCUGGCUAUUUCAUUGCUUCGAAUGGCUAAAAAUCUUGGGUUUCUUUUUCCCUCACACACACUAGAGAUUCCAUUACAACAUAGAGAGUGUGCUUGCAACUACUAUGUUUAAUGAUUGGGGUAAGAAAUAGAACACACAUUUUAAUGCACAUUAAACAUCUUUAAUAGAAUUCAUGAGCAGGUUUCAAACACAACCAGAAACACUCUUUUAAUGCAGAUUAAAAAGGGUUCAAACACAACCUUUUUCUCUUUUAAAGGUUAAAACACAGGUGGGACCGCAUGCGUUGUCCUUGUACUGGAAAUCUUUUUCACUUUCUUUUUUAAAAAACUAAAUAAAAAUGUUUUAAAGGUUAAACACAGGUGUGAUCGUUUGUAUCGUCUUUGUGCCAAAACAUUUUCUCCUUUUUCUAAAAAUAAUCAAAAUGUUUUAAAGAUUAAACACACGUGUGAUCGCUCGCAUCGUCCUUGUACUAAAACCUUUUUCUCCUUCUUUUAAAAAUAAAUAAAAUUGUUUUAAAGGUUAAGCACAUGUGUGCAUCAUCCUUGUGAUGCAUCAAGACAUGACCCUUACUUCGACUACUUGAAAAUUCUUCUUGUUUGGUUGUUAUAAACAAAAAUAAUGAUAAGGAAAUUAUAUAUUAGUGAUAGGGAAUUUAUUUAUCAGUGAUAUAUUUAUUUUGUAUUUGAUUUUUUUAGGUUAUUUAUCUUUCGAGAAAAUGGUCUUUCAGUCAACCGUGAUGAUGUUACAAUUAGGGCACUCAAGCUAUCAAGGUUUUCUAUGUGACUGAUAUAUGAAAAAAUGGUGUAAUGAAGCCUUAUUCUUGAACCUACAAUAUUUCCAUAAUUAAGAGAUAGAUGGAAUGUUCUGAAUUGUAAACAGUAGCUUAGUUUAGCCUGGAUAUAUUUUAAUUAGAGUUUUGCUUCAGGCAUGUUUCUUGGUUGAAUUGUAUAAUACUAUUUGUCUCUUUUACAUUCUUCUAAUCUCAAAAUCUUUUAAAUAC
RNAcentral lists this long non-coding RNA (1457 nucleotides) under Vigna radiata. RNAcentral's name for it is "long non-coding RNA (VRAD_LNC009597)". Lineage: Eukaryota; Viridiplantae; Streptophyta; Magnoliopsida; Fabales; Fabaceae. The record is from RNAcentral.